UACGGGGGGGGCAAGCGUUGUUCGGAAUUACUGGGCGUAAGGGGCUCGUAGGUGGCCAACUAAGUCAGACGUGAAAUCCCUCAGCUUAACUGGGGAACUGCGUCUGAUACUGGAUGGCUUGAGUUUGGGAGAGGGAUGCGGAAUUCCAGGUGUAGCGGUGAAAUGCGUAGAUAUCUGGAGGAACACCGGUGGCGAAGGCGGCAUCCUGGACCAACACUGACACUGAGGAGCGAAAGCCAGGGGAGCAAACGGG
RNAcentral lists this ribosomal RNA (253 nucleotides) under uncultured bacterium. RNAcentral's name for it is "partial 16S ribosomal RNA". It matches the Rfam family "Bacterial small subunit ribosomal RNA", at positions 524 to 776 of the family's 1533-position model. The record is from RNAcentral.